This 305-nucleotide ribosomal RNA is filed under the name uncultured bacterium. Its description in RNAcentral is "bacterial SSU rRNA". It matches the Rfam family "Bacterial small subunit ribosomal RNA", at positions 331 to 656 of the family's 1533-position model. The record is from RNAcentral.
UAUGACCUAGGGGGGCAGCAGUGGGGGAUAUUGCACAAUGGGGGAAACCCUGAUGCAGCGACGCCGCGUGGGUGAAGAAGCGCCUCGGCGCGUAAAGCCCUGUCAGCAGGGAAGAAAAUGACGGUACCUGAAGAAGAAGCCCCGGCUAACUACGUGCCAGCAGCCGCGGUAAUACGUAGGGGGCAAGCGUUAUCCGGAUUUACUGGGUGUAAAGGGGGCGCAGACGGCGAUGCAAGCCAGGAGUGAAAGCCCGGGGCCCAACCCCGGGACUGCUCUUGGAACUGCGUGGCUAGAGUGCAGGAGGG